Microdochium bolleyi is the source of this 111-nucleotide transfer RNA. It matches the Rfam family "tRNA". Rfam says of the family: Transfer RNA (tRNA) molecules are approximately 80 nucleotides in length. Their secondary structure includes four short double-helical elements and three loops (D, anti-codon, and T loops). Further hydrogen bonds mediate the characteristic L-shaped molecular structure. tRNAs have two regions of fundamental functional importance: the anti-codon, which is responsible for specific mRNA codon recognition, and the 3' end, to which the tRNAs corresponding amino acid is attached (by aminoacyl-tRNA synthetases). tRNAs cope with the degeneracy of the genetic code in two manners: having more than one tRNA (with a specific anti-codon) for a particular amino acid; and 'wobble' base-pairing, i.e. permitting non-standard base-pairing at the 3rd anti-codon position. The record is from Rfam. NCBI's taxonomy places the organism in Eukaryota, Fungi, Ascomycota, Sordariomycetes, Xylariales, Microdochiaceae.
GGGCUUGUGGUUUAGUGGUAUAAUACUCCCUUAGCACCAGCGAGCUGGUUCGCCAGUCUCUGCCUCGACGCCGUAUGGGAGUGGUCCGGGGUUCGAUUCCCCGCGAGUCCA